UAAAAUCUUUUUAGUGAUAAAAUUGUAUAAUUAACUAGAAAUAACUACAUUUAAAAUUUUGAAAAUAUUAUUUUAUUUCUAUUAUUAUGUUAUUUAAUGUCAUAUUUGAAUAUAUUUACUAGGAGUGGACAUUUCGGUUUAAUUACGGGUUCGGUUUAGGUUUGGUUUAGGUUUGGUUCGGUUUGAUUUAUUUGGAUCUAGUAAAACCUUAACCAAAGUCAACCUAAGUUAGCUUGGUUCAGUUUGUGUUUGGUUUGAUUCGUUUUUAAUUUGGUUUCGUUUGUGUUCGGUUUGGUUUGUGUUCGGUUUACUUUGGUUUUGUUUGUGUCUAUUCAGUUCAGUCGAGUUGAUUUUUUAGUUUUUUCUAGUUUAAUUACAAAUAUAAUUUUUAAAACAUAAACCAAUCAUAUUUGACACCAAAUCAUUAUUUUUUAUAUUUAAAUGUAAAAGUCAAACAUCACAAAUUAAAAUGUAAAAGAUGUAAUACAAUAAUGUUAUACUAUUAUUCUCAAACCUUAUAUAAAUUCAUUAGUAAUUUUUGAGUUUUGAUGUUAAUGUAUGAGAUUCAUAUGUUUAUUGUAUUGUUAGUUGUGUUUAUUCUCUUUAUUUAGACGUAAAAUAUAUAAAUUUAUAUUUAGUUGUUUAGGUUAAAUAGUAAAAUAUAUUAAAUUUUAAUAUUAUUUAAUUAUUCAUAUUAAAAAAACCCUUCGAUUUUUCAGUUCGGUUUGUUUUUUUGUCUAUCCCUAAGAUUUAUUUUAAUGAUGAUAUAUAAUUACCUAUCGUAUACUAAAAAGUUUACCAAAAAUAUAAAUAACUGUUAAAUGUAAUUUUCUAUAUCAUAUUAACCAUAAGUCAUGUUAUCAUUUCUAGAAUUUCAGAUUUUAUUUAUCUAGUGAAGUGAUAGUAAAAAAGACAUCUGUCAAAAUAAUUUUGCAAACAAUGUCUAGGAGAUUUGUAAUAAAAAACAUUAAGAGAAAACAAAAUUGAAUAGCAAUAGUAAUAAUUGCAAUUAGUUGCAAUAAUGUUAAUCCACGUACUAAGAGUAUCUAUGUAAUUAAAUUAUAAAAAUAUAUUAAAUAAAAAGGAAACUGAAAAGAAAUAGUAAUGAUUAUAGUUAGUUGUAAUAAUUUCAUUGAUUAAUGAUAUUUAUGUAAUAGCUAUUGUAAGAAUUAAGGUAAACAAAAAUGAUUAAAAAUAGAGUUAUUAUUUAAUUUUUAUUAGUAAAUUUUCGUAAGAAUUCUAGUUAUUUUUGUCAAAAAAAAAAAUUCUAGUUAUUUAACUUUUUGGAGAGUCAAAAUCAUCUAACAUAUUGAAAUGGCCGAGCUGUUGUAGAUUGAUAUUUAAAAAUAGAUAUUGAAACUAAAUGAACAACAUAUGAAGUAAUAGUGAAAUGACCAUGUUAUCAAAUAUUUAAAAUUUUGGUUUAUGUUUAUUUAAUUUUACUUUUAUAUAGUUAGUUAAUAUCACCUAAAAAUACUGUCGUUGUUUGUAUAUUUCAAAGAACUUGUUGCUGUCAAAAUAUAUGAUUAGUAAUUAAUUUUAUUUAAAUAAUACAGGAAAUCUGUACAGGAAAAAAUUCAAAAGAGAAAUAUAUACAGCAAACUAGUUUUAUAAAUUACAGUUACCAAAUAUUUUUACCACAGAAGACAUCAAAUUAUUACAUUUAAUCCAACCCGAUUUUAAAACACAUGCCAGCAUUGAAGCUAUUCUCUCAAAACAUUUUGCAUGUCAUAUUCAGAUAAUUAAUGUGUAGAUUGACACCGCUGGGAUUCUGAUUGUGAUAGAAUGUAUCAAUCAUUUUCAUCAUUAAACAUAAUACCUGAUGUAAGGAUUACUUCUCCAACUUCUUCAUUCAACAUAUUCCAAGGGCACAAAACAUAAUGGCGGACAAACUAGCACGAGGUGCUAGAGACUUGCCUUCUGCUAUGGUUUAUGUUGAUUCAGUUCCACCGAGAUGGCUCUCGCGGCCGGAACCAGUUUAGUUUAGUUUCUUUUGUGAAAAAAAAAAACAUAAUACCUGAUGUAAACAUAAAUAUUAUUUUUUUUCAAAAAAAUAAAAAAAAACAUAAAUAUUAUUUCGCAUUGGUGUUUUUUUUUGCAGUUAAAAAACCAUUAAUACGACUAACGCAAAAUAAUAUACAUUUUAAAUUUACAAUACCAAGCGAAAAACAAAAUCAAAUGAAAAAUAUCUACAAUAGUAUGAAAGCUAUUGUAAUUUAGCGUGCAAUAAAAUUUCUUUAUUUAUAUAACUUUUAAAUAAUUAACAAAUAUUUUCAUAUUUUAGUUAGUUUCUUUAAAAUCUAUAUUAUUGUUCUCGUCUCAUCUUUUGUUUAACUCGUGAAGCUAUUAACGAAGCUACAUGUUUAUAUAGAAUCUCAUUACAUGAUGAAACAAAUUAUAAAAAAUGCCUUUAGUGUUUUGUAUAUAUUUAAAAGAUGCCCUAGGCCAAUGCUUCUUAUUUUCUCAUGUAAGCACGGCACUGAAAGUAUCUCACCAAAUAAUCCAUUUUCUCAAUAUCUUUUUUUCCAUUUCUUUCAUGCAUGACUGUAAUUAGAAAUAAUAAAUAUGGUUGGGUUGGUGAAUCUAAACAGAAGAAAAUACAUUUGAAAAUCAUGAGGUUUAUUUACAAAAAAAAAAAAAAAAAAAAAAAAAAAAAUCAUGAGGCCAUUGACAUGACACAGUGGCUUUCUUUUGAGGUAGAUAUGUGUCUUUUAAACUCGUGUUAUCCGUUUGUUCGGGUGAGCAGAGUUUAUAAUCUCUCAUAAAGCAUGUACAUGGAGGAGCCAUGGCUAUAAAAUAUGCUGAGCUACAUACCGAUAAAUUUGAUGAGUAAUUUUAUGCUUUAAUAAAGUCGCAGAUGCAUGUUGCAUCAGAGAGUGUGCUAUGAAGAGUGCAGAGUGGAUUUAUGAAUAUCUCUUGUGAGGCUAGGCUUAACCGAGUGGAAAGAUAACCAAUUGUGUAAAGAUGAUUAAACAAAUCUUGUAAAAAUUGUAUAAGUGCUUUCUAAUAAAACAUAACAUGUGUUAAUUUCUCGUUGUCUUUUUAUUUAUUUUAUCCACAACUAUUUUGUGUUGUAUUUUGCACUUUUAAUACGAAUCUACUACAGAUGAGUUUAUGCAUAUAUUCUUUUCCUUUUUAGUGCUACAGUUUAUGCAUAUAUUCAAGCUCAAUUCUUACCAUCAUACUACCACCGUUUGGUUAAGAAAUUCUAUUGUUACCAAAGAAAACGAUUACGUUGUUUUAUGGCUUUGCUUAUAUGACCACUACGAGUCUAGAUUUAAGAUGCAAGACCAUUAUAGACUAACGAAUGCAUUGCUAACAGUAUGGUGUAAGACUAUUACAUUAUAUUCACUUUAGGUCUCAACCAUACCCCUAAUAGAAAACAAUUAUCUCUAUUUUUUUUUUUGUAACAGACAAUUAUCUCUAUUAUUGCAUUGUCCGGCCUCUUUUUUUUGGGAUUUACGUUCACGUUUAUAUAACAGCUAGUUUGAUCAAAUAUGGAAAACCUUCUGAUAGUACUAAUCAUUUAAUAAUGUUAUGCGUUUAUUGGUUCACUUGCAAUUUGACGGUAGAGAAUAACGAUUAGAGUUUGUGGUACCACAACCACCGUUUUAUAUACGUGUAUCAAAUCUAUAACUAUAAAAUGGUAAACAUAUAAAAAUUAAUAGAAUAGAAUUUUCUGAGAUAAAAUAAAUGGAAUAUAAAAAUAGAAUAUAAAAUGUAUUCAAUUAAUUUAUCGUCAAAUUGCAGUAAAAAAGAUUUUUCUUUUUAUUUUGUUUCUUUUUGAAGAAUUAUCGAAAUGAUUAUUCGAUUUCAUUUAACUUAAAUUGUUACUAAAAUAUGUAAAAUUAAUAAAAUUAUUUAUUUUCAUUAUAUAUUUCAUAAAAACGAGGAAAAUGAUUGAUGGCUACAUGAAUGAAGUAUUGGUCAUCACAUGACUAACAAUGCAAACUAAACUAAUAUAUACCUAGCCACACGAAGUAUAUGUUAUGUAUGACAACAUCUCUCAACUUUAUGAUGUUAUGUAGUUAACAUCCCGAGUUUAAUUUCAUUCAUCCAAAAACUGAUGCGGAUGUUAGAAAACGUUUAAAUAUCUUGUUUUAAUAAUUAAAAUAUGAUCGAUCCGACUAUAAUUUAAUUACAACUAGAUUUUGACCCACAUUUUUAAAACCUAAGAAUAUUUUUAACAAAAUCUAAUUUACAAAAUCAAUAUUUUUAAUAUUUUUUAUAAGUAGUGUUUUAACAUUUUUAUUUUAGUGUAUUUAAAAAAUAUAUAAUUGUAUUAUUUUUAUUUAUAUUAAUAUGUUUUGUUAUGAACUUUUAAUAAGUAACUUUUUAACAUUUUUAUUUUUUUGUUUUAACAUUUUUAUUUUAGUGUAUUUUAAAACUAUAUAAUUGUAUUUUUUUAUUAUUUAUUACUCUGUUUUGUUUUUAAUAAUAUUAAUCUUUUUGUUAUCAACUUUUAAUAAUAAAAAUUGUAAUUUGUGUGAUUAAUUGUGUGAUAUAUACUUCUUUGAUAAUUUUUAAUCAUGAAACUUAUUUUCUGUCAAUUUUUUAACUUUAACAUUUUAUUUUCUUAAAAUUUAUGUGAUGUCAACUUAAACCAAACAUAAUCUUGCAUAUAUAAUUAUACAUUAUAUAUUUUUAAGAAUAAAAAUAAUCAAAGAAUAUGAAUCUAAUGUGAAAGUUUUACUAAGUUUAAAUGAAUGGAAUUUUUUUUAUGAAAAAUAUAUAAAAUAGUUCAAUAGCUUAAUAAAUAAUUUCAUAUCAAACAAAUAAAAUAAUAGAGUCAAUAUAUUGACAUCAAAGAAGUUUUAUAAUAAUUUUUUUUAUCAGAUAAGUAUAUUUCACACAGUUAAUCAAACGAAUUACAGAAAUUUUAUUAAAAGUUCAUACCAAAACAGAUUAAAAGAAUUAAAAAACUAAAUUAAAUAAUAUCUUCUAUAAUGUUUAUAUUUAAUAAAAAUAAAAAUAAUAUAAUUAUAUUGAUUUCAAAUACACUAAAUAAAAAUGUUAAAACACUACUUAUCAAAAUUUAUAGAACAUAUUGAUUUUGUAAAUUACAUUUUGUUAAAAAAUAUUUUUACGUUUUUAUAACACUUUAGGUAAAUUACCGUCAGGUACGUAACAUUUCAAUUGAUGAAACGAGAGAUUUAAACGGUCUCCAACAUACACAUCAUUUUUUGGAUGAAUGAAAUUAAACUCGUGAUGUUAACUACAUAACAUCAUAAAGUUGAGAGAAGUUGUCAUGCAAAAUAUAUACUUCAUCUAGCGAAGUAUACAUUUGUUUAGUUUGCAUGGUUAGCCAUGUGAUGGCCACUACUUCAUGUAGUCAGCAAUCAUUUUUCCUAAAAACAAUCUAACAGCAGCCUAAGAAAUUUUAUUGUGGAUGAAAUUUUAUUAUUGUGUAUCUUUGUGACUGAAUCAUAGAAAAAGCAAAAUUAUCUCUUCUAUUUUUCAGAAGUAGGGUUAAUUCGCUCUACGGACGGGUAAAAAUGUGAAAAAUUAAUAGAAAAUAAAUUAAAUUGUAAAAUAUAUUUAAAAUAUUUAAUAAACUCUCAACUGAAGAUAAUAUUAAAAUUACUAUUUUGUUUCUUUUAUUGAAAAUACAAGAUUGAUAAAAAAAUAAAAUAUUAUCAUAAAAUAAUAGGUUUAUUUAUAUUUUCAACGUGUAAUACAUUAUGAUAAUCAGUAAGUAAAAUAAAAUUACUUAAAGAGAAUCAAAAUAUAAAUUAUUUUCCCAUCUUAUUCUUUGUUAUUGUAUCCAUUGAGACAUUUAAUUUUUCUUAUACCUUUUCUUUUAAAACUAUUGGUUUAGCUACUACAAAAAGGAAAUAAUCGAUUCACUGUAAAAAACAUUAAAAAAACAUUUCUAGAUAGUAUUAUAAUCUCAUAUUAAUCAAUACAAUUAAAAAUUUGAAUACUUAUUUUAAAACUUCUACAAAUGAACUGCACAAACCAAACUGAUUAUAAUUUUCAAAAUAUAUAUUUUAUUCAGUUUUCAGACUAGAAUUAGUGAUGGUUUUAUAUAUUCUCUUACCUUUUGUAUUUAUUUUCUAUUGGUUUUAUUAUACAAUAAAUUAUUUAUAUAAAAUAUUUAAGAUAUUUUAUUAUUAUGAAAAAAUAUUUCUUAUUAAAUAUUUUAGAUUUAAUUGAACAUAUAUAUAUAUAUAUAUAUAUAUAUAUAUAUAUAUAUUGUUGAAAAAUUUAUUAUGUACUAUAAUUUUGGAUCAAUUAACAUUCAGUUAUCAAAUCAUUUGGUUAAAUAUAAAAUUUAAAGUAAAAGGUAUAAAAAUAAAAAUAUAUUAGUAUAUCAAGUUAAAAAAAUACAUUAAAUUGAAAAAUAAAUUGACUUUACGUUAUAAAAUGACAAAUAACCUUUAAAGUCUGAUGAUAAAAAAACAUUUAAAAUCUACAUAUAACUGAUUUAAAAUGAAAUUGAUUAUUCAUUUAAGAAUAUAUAUAUAUAUAUAUAUAAAUUUAAAAUUAAAUAUUAAAAUAGUUUAAUAUACAUAUAAAUGAUGAAUACCUAAAAGAAGAACAUAACUCUUUAUAUCUAAACUAGGGAGAGGUCCGCGCUACGUGCGGGUUGUAUUUUGUUUUUCUGUCAUUUUUUUAAAAUUGUUUGUGGUGGUUUUGUAUGCAUUAUUAAUUGCUGAUUAAAUUUUUUCUGCGAAUUUGAACGUUGUUGGUGUACUAGGUUCAGAGCCGUAUCUAUUCACUUAAAAAGAAAAAAUGGUUUAAGGCAUAUAAUGUAGAAAAAAGGUUGAAGGCAUAUAAAACUUAGGGGCACAUACAAAAUGCAGAGUUAAACCAUACCUAUUUUACAUAUUAUAAUCUUUAUUUCUUUGUAUUAAUUAGUUCACACACUUAUUUCUAUUUAUUUUCUUACCAUAUCAAAUCUUAUUUUUCAAUAAUAUUUUCUUAGUUAUUUUCUUUUAUCUCAUUUUUAUAUUUAUUAUACAAAUUAAAUUUUAAUUUAAAGUAGCAUAUGUUUUUAAUCAUAGUUUUAUAUAAACUCAUGUGUGUUUUGUAAUAUUUAAACAUGUAAUAUGCAUAUUUCUAUGUGUUUUAUAAUAUUUAUCAAUUAAUUUAUAGUUUUUUAAAUGUGAUUUAUUUAUUAAGAAAUUUAUAUACAUUUUUUAAAGAAGAAAUGUAUAUACAUGAAACUAUAUUUUUGGCUUAUGGUAUAAGAGACUUUAAGCAAGGUCAAGGUCUAUGUUGGUUUUGGAGUGUGAGGUGGUGGUGUGUGGUGAGUUGUUUGUAUCAAUUUGUGGUUGAGAGAUGUCGUUUCUGGUAUGCAUUUGGAUGUUCAAGUAUUAGUAUGGUGGAGUUUUUUUGUUGUAUAUAUAUAAGAGAAAAUUGGAUAAAUAGGACACUUUGAACUUGGAUUUGUCACAUUAGGAUUUCUAGAAGAUAUUUUAGGAAAAUAGGAUUUUAGAUCUUGUAAAAUACCAAAGUACCCUUAAUUUACCAAUUAUGUUGAAUUUAAAUUAUAAAUUAUAAUAAUUUUCGUAAUAGAUUUUAAUGUUAAAAUUAAAAUCUAUAAAAAUUAAAAAAUAAAAAAAACACUAAAUGGGAAAAAAGGAGACGCGGGAUGCCGCAAACCUAAUUCCCCUUUCUCUUUGUCUUCUCCGUCGUAGACUCGUCGCUCUCCCACGGCGAUUUAGGGUUCAACGGUGAGAAGCUCUGUUCUUCGUCGGUGUUUCAUCAGCCCGUGGUCUCUACUCUCGUCUCCGUCACCAUCCUUUUCGAUCUCACUGAAGACACAACGGCUGCGAAUCGUUCUUCCUCUUCGUCGGGUCAAAUCGAUUUUCGAAGUGUUCUUCCAUCAAUUUCGCCUCUCAAUCUCACAAUUCUUCACAGAAGGUAUUGGAUUUCAUCUAUAGAUUCUCAUAUUAAACGAAAUCGAAGUGUUCUUCCAUUAAAGCUUGAUUUUUUUUUAAAAUGAUUUGCCGUGUUUCUUAAAAUAAUUUUGUUUCACGGAUUGGUUGAUAUUAUUGAAACCUUUACAUGUGUGAUGAUAUUGAAACCUUUACAUGUUGAACUAAUAAUUUUGUCACGGUUUGUAGCUAUGUCUGAGGAGCUACCGAAGAGGCUUUUUAAGGAGGGCGAGGAGCCCCGAGUUACUCAGAUCAACAACAACUGCAGGAUCGACUACAUAAUCCGAAAGUUCCAAGCGUGGCUGCCAAAGGAGUUGGAUGUCGUGAAGAAAGACCCGGUUUUUCAUCAGAUUUUUAAGCUCCAUGAGAAUGGUCUUGGAUACUCUGCGAGGGUGAUACACAGCUUCUUGUGUAGGGAGCUGGUGACUUUCUUACAGCACGAGCUAUGGUUUGUCUUUGCGAGGAGACCGCUUCGAUUCUCAUUGCAAGAGUUCCACGCCGUAACCGGGUUUGAAUGCGAUACUCACAUUUCGAUUGAGGAGUUUGAAGAGUGGAAAUAUGAUGGUGGUUUCUGGAGCAAGGUUUUGAGGAGAAAAGAUGGAACAAUUACACUCUUCAACCUGUGGACUAAGGACAAGGAAGCUGUAAAGAAAUGGAAGAAUGCAGAUCGCAUACGUCUUAUCUACUUGGCGAUCAUUCUUUGUGUGGUAUUGGCGAGAGAUGAGAAGGCUAAUAUCCCCCUGAAGUACAUCGCGGUGGUCAUGGAUCUUGACAGAGUUCGAAGGUAUCCUUGGGGAGUUGCUGCUUAUGACCUUCUCUGCAAAUCCAUAGCCAAAAAUCGUUCCCAACUGAAGGAAAAGACCACUAGCUAUGUCUUGGAUGGCUUCUCAUACGCCUUGCAGAUUUGGGCAAUGGAAGCGGUGCCAAAAAUCGGGAAGCUUUGUGGAAAAAAGCUGGAUAAGGGUUUCAAGGACGGUCCUAGAUGCAUAAACUGGAUGGGAGCUGCGAAGGUGUCAUAUGAGGAGAUCAUUCGCUUGGAGGAGAUUAUUACACCCAAGGAUGACAUCUACCCAUACAUCUCAUGGACAGGAAAUUAUGAUGUUGUCAAAGCUCAGGCGUUUCGCAGAGAUGAUGAUGUGGAGGAUGACAGAAUCAAGGUUCUGAUGGAGAUGAUAAAGAAGGGGCAUGAUUUUAGUGAGCAUGUUUGGGAAACUGAAGAAAAUGAAGUGAUUUCUUUAUCUCUCGAUGACGAAUCAGCUGUGAAUGAUGAAGCAAGCGUGAAUGUUGAAGCAGCCGAGAGUGAUGACGACUUUCAGACUCCGAAAGGAUCAAAAAACGUUGGUUCUAGAUCAAAGAGGGGUAAAAAGAGGCUUCCCGAUCGUGGUAUGGAGAAGAGAAAGCAUAAGGUUCUCGCAAGUGGCGCAAAGCAAGCUCCUUUUAAUGAAGACAUGAAGGCUUUUAUGACACAGUUGUUUGAGCACAACUUCUCUGGAAUGGAACAAAGGAUACAGAAACAGAUGGCCGAGACAUUUGAGCAGAUGCGGACAGAGCUUAAACAAUCACGUAAGGAAGCCAGCGUUGAAGUUGAGCUUGGAGAGCCUUCACCGACAAAGCCAUCGACGAGCCAGGCACCGUUGAGGAGGUCCACACGCGGGGUAAACAAACACUAGUCUUCACCAUCCUCUUCAAUGUUAUUUUGUCUUGUUUAAGUUCGUGGUUUGCGUGUCUGUUUGUUUUAUUGGCAUCUAAGUUAUCGGCCUGAAUUUUGUUGUACUUUAUAAGGUCUCGGUUUGUAUGUGUGCUUGGUGUGUAAGUGUUCUUGGUUUGUAAGUGUCUUGUUUGAACUUAUGUAAUGGUCUGGAACUUUUAUGUAAAAUAAUUAUUAAUGAUAAUGUAUUUUGGUAUCUCAAUUAUUGCUUAUUUGUCAUGAAAUAACAGGAUGGUUCCGAGACUACAUUCGAUGUGAAUUAUAGUGAAGCAGAUGAUUUGGGUCGCGGGAUAGGUACACAAGGGGUUGAAGGGCUUUCUCAGACGUCGUAUGUGCCAGGCUUUGAUCCAUCUCAGGACAAAAAAGAAGAAGACUGGUGGACUCCAAUGACUUCGGUCCGAGGUUCAGUGGAUAAUCCAGUAAAGAAAGAAAAGACAGAGAUGAAUACAGCUCCACCGCCGUCACAGUGGGAGAAAUGGUGCAAAAGAAAAGGUCAUGGACUUCAGCUUAGCGAUUCACCAUUGCCAGAAGAUGCUUCUCCGCAGGCGUCACUUUAUUAUAUCUCCGAAGAGUCAUGGAAAGGAUUCACGGAAUGGGCAUUAAAGCCUAUACCUUUAACAAUUGGUCCUACAUGCUUUAAUUUGUCUGUAGCUACAAGAGUAGUAAGUGCUGGAAAAUGGCUUGGAAACGAGGUAAUGAAUCUUGUACUAACCUUUAGUGAAUUUAUCUUCCUAACACUUCUUAUAUGCUAUAUUACUUAACUUUCAUUGUAAAUUUUUAGGAGAUGGAUGCGGUUAUGUUUAUAUGGCGUGUGAACACUACAUUGAAUCGUUGGGCCCCUCGGCGUGUUGCUUUCAUGAGUGCUAUGUUUUGCCUCCAAGUAGACGCUGCAUACAAGAAGUUUUUACCAAACAAAAAAGCCUAUCAAUUGCCUGAUUUCCUUCUUGGGUACGGCAGAGGAGAGCUUCCAUCUCAUGGGCGGACUGAUCUAGUUUGGGGUGUUGAUGUUGAUCGACUCUACUUUCCUCUGUUUGUAAAUGGUAACCAUUCAGUUCUUUUUACAUCCUAGUAUACAUUUCUUCGUUUACAAAUUUUUGUGGACACGAACGCAGGUAAUCACUGGGUUGGUGUCUGUGUAAACAUCAUUGAAAGAAAAGUAGAAGUCUUUGAUUGCGGUCGGGGAAAGAACAGACAGUACGUUGAGAAGUUUGCUGCUAUCAUUCCUAGGAUUGUGAAGUCCGUUGCACCACAAGAAAGACAGAAGCAGCUACUCCUCUCAUCAUAUUCUAUCGUGGAUGUGCCUAUGAAGUUGAGAUUGAAUAAAAGUUGUUGUGAUUGCGGUGCAUACGCUUUGAAGCACUUGGAAUGCUCGCUGCUUGGUCUUGACGUCAGUUUAGUGGAUGAUGAAAUCAUUAUGGGUUGUAGACAGAAGAUUGGAGUGGACUUAUGGGAGGCUGCACACGACCCCAUCUUUGCUGAGGUUAUGACACGAUAUGUGCCUUCACCAUGGGAGAGGUCUGAGGUCUUUGACCUGGAGGAUGAUUGAUUAACUGUGAUUUUAGUAGUUUGGUUUGUUAGAAUUAGAAAACAACUUUGGCUUUGGUAUUUGAUUUGAAUUAAGAAACAACUCUAGCUUUGAUUUUGUAUAAAUUAUGAAACAACCCUAUAAAGAACAAAAUCAUAAAAACUGAGGACCCAAACCCUAAACAAACCCUUAACUAAAACCAUAACCAUAGACAUACCCUAACCAAACCCUUAACUUAAACCAUAACCAUAGACAUACCCUAACCAAACCCUAAAACCAUAAUACAAUCAUGAUUCUUAAUCAUACCCUAAACAAACCCUAAAUCUGUAAUUCAUAGUCAAACCCUUAACCCUAAAUAAACUCUAAAACCAUAACCGUAGACAUACUCUAACCAAACCCUUAACUAAAACCAAAUACAAAUUAAUCCAACGCCUCAAACACACACCUAUUUAUUGAUUAUUUUUGUACAUUGGUCACUAUCUAAGUACGUCCGUCCACUAUGUUUGAUAGAUGUUUAAACACUAAUUUAGAGGGUUCAAAGACAAAGUUCUUGUGGUGUUAUCGAUAAAUUCAAAAUGAUUUUUUUCUGCUCUGCCUUAGCUAGAAUACGCGUUCUGGGAGUAUGAAACGACGUAGUUUUGGUUAUUUUUUUGACCUAAUCUCUUUUCUUCCUCAUUCUUCCUCGACAGAGAGAUUGCAGCGGCGAAAAUUUGGAGAUCGACUCCCUCAUGUCUUCAGUAAAUUCUUCAUCCACUACAAGAGAUCGCCUCGCGAAACAACGGGGAAUUCCCACAAGAUGCAAUUGCGGUGAGGCAGUGAAUCGUUUCACUUCAAAAACAAUUCAAAAUCCGGGAAGAUUAUUUCAUUGUUGUCCUUUGGGAUCUCAAAAGGACAAAACCCACUUGUUCAAAUGGACUGACAAGUCAGUUGUUGAGGAGAUUGAAGACUUCCAAGACCUGUUUGACGUGUUACUCGUUGACAAUUCCGAGUUUCAGAAAUCAGUGAGAGCUGGUGAGGCCAUGAUGACACGCCAUGAGAGUAGAAUUCAAGAGAUGGAAGAUGCAAUGUGCCAUUGCGAAGAGAAGACCUUGGAAUGCAUUAGGGAACUUAGGGGCAUAAAAGCUUUGUUUGUGUGUUGUUUGGUGAUGGUCUUCUUGUACCAUAUCUAUGCAUGAUGUUCAACUACUUUUAUGUGCUUCCUCAACUUGUUGUUUCUUAUUUUCAAAGAAGUUAAGACCAUGUUUCUUGUUAUUUCGAGGUGAUCAUCAUCUACUGAAACGAAUUAUUUUGCAAUUACUUUGAUUGUUACUAGAAUAAAUCGAUUUGUCUCUAUAGUUUAGCAAAUACCAAAUUGUCAAAUAGGUUCUUAAACAGAAGAUCAAAUUGUUUCAAAAGCAAUAA
Brassica rapa (field mustard) is the source of this 12517-nucleotide RNA transcript. RefSeq lists it as uncharacterized. The record is from RefSeq and is a predicted model, not a curated record. Lineage: Eukaryota; Viridiplantae; Streptophyta; Magnoliopsida; Brassicales; Brassicaceae.